RNAcentral lists this ribosomal RNA (492 nucleotides) under uncultured bacterium. Its description in RNAcentral is "partial 16S ribosomal RNA". It matches the Rfam family "Bacterial small subunit ribosomal RNA", at positions 29 to 507 of the family's 1533-position model. The record is from RNAcentral.
AGUGAACGCUGGCGGUAGGCCUAACACAUGCAAGUCGAACGGCAGCACAGUAAGAGCUUGCUCUUACGGGUGGCGAGUGGCGGACGGGUGAGGAAUACAUCGGAAUCUACUUUUUCGUGGGGGAUAACGUAGGGAAACUUACGCUAAUACCGCAUACGACCUACGGGUGAAAGCAGGGGAUCUUCGGACCUUGCGCGAUUGAAUGAGCCGAUGUCGGAUUAGCUAGUUGGCGGGGUAAAGGCCCACCAAGGCGACGAUCCGUAGCUGGUCUGAGAGGAUGAUCAGCCACACUGGAACUGAGACACGGUCCAGACUCCUACGGGAGGCAGCAGUGGGGAAUAUUGGACAAUGGGGGCAAGCCUGAUCCAGCCAUACCGCGGGGGUGAAGAAGGCCUUCGGGUUGUAAAGCCAUUUUGUUGGGAAAGAAAAGCAGCAGGUUAAUACCCCGCUGUUCUGACGGUACCCAAAGAAUAAGCACCGGCUAACUUCGUG